CAGCCGCCGCGGGAAUACGGAGGAUCCAAGCGUUAUCCGGAAUCAUUGGGUUUAAAGGGUCCGUAGGCGGUCUUGUAAGUCAGUGGUGAAAGCCCAUCGCUCAACGGUGGAACGGCCAUUGAUACUGCAGGACUUGAAUUAUUGGGAAGUAACUAGAAUAUGUAGUGUAGCGGUGAAAUGCUUAGAGAUUACAUGGAAUACCAAUUGCGAAGGCAGGUUACUACCAAUUGAUUGACGCUGAUGGACGAAAGCGUGGGUAGCGAACAGGAUUAGAUACCCGAGUAGUCCCUGUCUCUUAUAA
RNAcentral lists this ribosomal RNA (301 nucleotides) under uncultured bacterium. Its description in RNAcentral is "partial 16S ribosomal RNA". It matches the Rfam family "Bacterial small subunit ribosomal RNA", at positions 509 to 809 of the family's 1533-position model. The record is from RNAcentral.